UCAUGAUGUAAGUUUAAAUGAAUAGUGCGGAAUAAAUACACAAACCCGACAUCGACGUGUCACUAUUCAUGAGUAUUUACUACAGUGUCUAACAGCACUAAGACAGAUAUGGUCGGAAAAAUUACAAGAAUACAUUAAGGAAGAAUACGGAGGGAGAAAGCAGGGUUGCGAUCGCCAGGCAGCUGCCUUGCUAACUCCGAUGAAUCUGCCACCGAGCUCAGAAAUACCUGAAUUUGUACACAAGGUGCAGGGAGUAAUAUGAGUACGCCAACUCAGUAAGUAAUAAAAGUAAAUGAAGAUUGAGUAGUAAGAAAUCACGUAAACCAUGUCAUAGCACCACGAGAGGUAUUGCAUAUUUCCAAAACAAGAUACAAAUCAAAUCAUUUUGUUAAAUUUCCAACUUCAGUAAACAUCCUUUAGAAAAUAUCUUUCCAGCCUUUUCAAUAGAUGUUUAAUGAAAUAUAUAUAUAAGUGAUGAAAAUCAUAGUCGGCCCCUCGGCCAAAACAUAAUUCGUAUACAACCCCUCGGGCAAACAUAAAUUCAUAACCAUCUCGUAGCUUAAAAAUCUCAGUGGAAGUAAAAAAGCCAAAUCAGUGACUAAAUUCCGAACACCUUGUAAAACUUGAGUUUAAAGGUAAGUUGUUUAAAAAUAUUUGUUUAACAUUUUCAAUAGAGGCUCGGUCUAAAGGUGAGUGAAAGCAGUAAUUAAUCAACAUAUUCAAUAGAAAAUCUCUUUAAGGAGGAGUGAAACCAGUAAGUUCAUAAACAGGCCCCCUCGGGCAAAACAUCACUCGUAUGCAUAUAUAUAUAUAUAUAUGAUUAUAUAUUUAUGGAUCGGGCUGCACGCCGCAGCGAUAUAUGGAUCGAGUUGCACGCCGCAACGGUUAUUAUAUGGUACUUAUUGAGCGUGAGUGCUGAGUGUGAGCACUGGCUGAUGCGAGUUGAGUCAUGAGUAACUGUAUAUGCCCCUCGGGCAAGCCUCUCAGUUACUCAUGACUCAACUCGCAUCAGCCAGUGCUCACACUCAACACUCACGCUCAAUAAGUACCAUAUAAUAAUCGCUGCGGCGUGCAACCCGAUCCAUAUAUCGCUGCGGCGUGCAGCCCGAUCCAUAAAUAUAUAAUCCUCACAACCAGGCCCUCGUCCUCUCUCAGUCAUUAACCUCACAAUCAGACUCUUGGUCUAUCUCAGCCAUCAGCCUCACAAGUCACUCGGACUAUCGAUAAAAUAGGCGUUCAGCUCAAAUAGUAAGGCUGAGGUAGGAAAUUACUAAAAUACAGCAUGACUGAGUACAAUUAUUAAGUCAAAACAUUGAGAAAAAGUAGUAAAAGUCCCAUAAGGGUCCAAAACAGUUGGCACGAGACCCAAACAUGACAUUCCGCCCAAAACAUAGCAAUACUUUCCAAAACACGAUGAUAUCAAACAUUUUUCAAUCAAAUACGCGACUUAACAGUCAUACGAGACGGACUAAGUCACAAUCCCCAACGGUGCACGACUCCAUGCUCUUCAUCUAGCGUGUGCGUCACUUCAAAGUAGCACAACGAUGUGAAAUACAGGGUUUCAUACCCUCAGGACAGCAUUUACAAUCAUUACUUACCUCAAUCCGGUCCAAACUCUAGCCUGUGAUGCCUUUAUCCCUUUAAUUGGCCUUCAAUUGCUCCAGAUCUAACCAAAAUGAUUCAUACCAUCAAAAUAUGCUAAGGGAAUAAAGCCCACUCGAAAAUAACCAAUUUACAUCGAAAAUCCCGAAAUUGGCAAAACCCGGCCCCCCGGGCCCACGUCUCGGAAUCCGAUAAAAAUCACAUCAAUAGAAUCCUUACACUCUCAAGAGUCUAUACAUACCAAAAAUUAUCAAAAUCCGACAUCAAAUGCCUAUUCAAAUCCCCAAAAGAAUUCUCAAUCUUUUCUUCAAUUUUUCCCCAAUUUCCACUGUAAUUUCUCAAAUUAAAUGAUGAAAUUCAAGACUAAAUCAUGGAUUUAAACCAAAUAUGAGUGAAGAAUACUUAACCUAAUAGUUCCACUGAAAAUCUCCUCAAAGUUCACCUUCUCCCGAGCUCUCUAAUGAAAUUUCGAAAUUAUGGACCAAACCCUCGAUUUUAAAAAUAUAAACGGACUGCCUAGGUAUUCUUCAUCGCAAACACAGCAUCACCCUCGCACUCGCGAAGCUCAAAGCUUCACUGACCAAAUUCUCUCCUUCACGAAUGCGAGGGUCACACGCGAACGGGAUGACCACACAGCUCAACCCUACGCGAACGCGAAACACUAAUCGCGAAUGCGUAAUGUUAACUCACACACCUUCGCGAACGCGGGACCUACAUCACGAACGCGAAGAACAACUUGACUGCCCCGCUUAUUAACCCUUCGCGAACGUGAGAACCUCUCGGAAACGCGAAGAAGGAUUGCUCUGCAACAAAAUACCAGAAAAUCAGCCAAGUCCAAAGUCCAAAAAUUGAUCCGUUAACCUCUCGAAACUUACCCGAGUCCCCCGGGACCUCAACCAAACAUACCAACAUAUCCCAUAACCUUAUUCAAACUUGUUCCAACCUUCGAAACGCUCAAAACAACAUCAAAACACCAAAAUCACAUCGGAUUCAAGCCUAAGAAUUUUAAAAACUUCCAAAUUCCGCUUUCGAUCAAAAAGUCUAUCAAACCUUAUCCGAAUGACCUGAAAUUUUGCACAUAUGUCACAAAUGACACAACGGACCUACUCCAACUUCUGGAAUUCCAUUCCGACCCCUAUGUCAAAAUCUCACCUAUCAACCGGAAAACGCCAAAAUUCCCAUUUCGCCAAUUCAAGCCUAAACCUUCCACGGACCUCCAAAAUACAUUCCGAUCACGCUCCUAAGUCCCAAAUCAUCUAACGGAGCUAACCAAAUCAUGAAAAUUCUAAUCCGAGAUCAUAUACUAUCAAGUUUGAUCUUGGUAAAACCUUUCAAAUUUUAAGCUUCAAAUUAAGAACCGUUCUUCCAAAUUUAUUCCGAUUACCCUGAAAACCAAAGCCGACGAUUUACAUAAGUCAUAGUACAUCACACGGGGCUAGUCAUGCCCAAGAACUGGCGAGCUAAGUGCAAAAGCUCAAAACAACCAGUCGGGUCGAUACAUCCUCCCCCACUUAAACAUGCGUUCGUCCUCGAACGUGCCCAGAGUUGUUCCGAAAAACCAUCAAUCCCUGAGUAACCUUACCAUGUACAUACCCGGGGGUGAUCCCACGUCACGCUAUCUCAUAUAGGUCCGAUAAUACAAUGUAGCUAAAAUUUCACAAUCCAACCUAGCUCGUAAACCUUAGAACCACAUUUCCACUUCUGAAAUCAUCUACAAGAUCAAAACCUCAUAUCUAUACUCUGAAUAAGCCCGAACAAGCUGUAACAAACCAUACAUGCAGCCUCAGAUGCAAUUACAUGAUAUACCACAUAGUUCAAACUCUCGUAGCGAUAACUUCUGAUCACAACAGUUGCUUAGAACAACCGAAUAUCGAUAAUAAACCUCUUAUCAAAUAAAGCCCCAUUCCAACACUUCCGUAUACUGCCAAUGAUGAAUGAAACACGUAGAAAGUCAUAACCAUUCCUCAGAUCAACCAUUCAUGAAGCUCCCUCUCCUUUGGCAAGAACCAUAGUAAAUUUUUAAGCCGAGCAUCGAUAUUACCCUUCCAACAUGCUGAAAUCGAAUCCAUUUGUAUUCAUUCUAGAUCCCAACGGUCUCAUCUAAACCAAUACAACUACUCUGUGACAUGACACAUCAAUACCACCUAAAGCCAUAACUCGUGCAAUCCGCACACUAAUAAGCAACAAUCCGAACGUACUCAAAUCAUGAAAAAUGGCUCAAAUAAGAGAGUUGUACCGCAAGCUCACCAUUACCACCACAACACAAUGCUGAUAACCCAUCAUACAUUGUAGAACCAAAACACACAAAUCUAACCCGAAGGAUCAUACCUCGAGAUAACUUUGCCGCAAUGCGCAACCCUAUCCAAACACUGGUUCGCAUGAGACGCCUUAAAUCACCAUGCUCAAAAUCAUCAACCAAGCGCAAUUUGAUGCCUAGCACCCAAAAGUGAAUCACCAUAACCAUAGAGAAGCAAAUGACAAAAUGCCAUAUCAGCCCGAAAGAACAAACCCAAUGCACAACAAAUCAUACAAUGCCCAUUUACCCGUCUCGCUCAAAUUUCGCUAUAAUGCUCAAAUGGAAUCGCACCAUAUGCGGAUAUAACCAACAAAUCACAAAUCCUCAUAACACAGAAAAUUAACUCAUAGAUCACUCCAGAACACGGAUAAGCUCAACAACAAUCAAAUGGCACAUCUCUCAACAAUAAUAGUUCGGAGUCAACAAUCCCGACCCAGUGCAGAACACACAUCCAUGUUGGGCCUAGCAAAGAACUACACAUCAACUCGGGUCACCCACAACAGAUAAAUAACUCUCCGAAGGUUCAUAAUGACUGAAUCAUAGCACAUACUAUCAUCUGACUAGCUUACCCACAUCUUUACAGUCCACAACCGCGAAGUAACCUGUUUAUGAGAACUCCCAGUCUCCAAAUCCAUAAAGCACACGAAUCACCAUAUCGGAUCCCAACUCCGCCGCCCGAAUAUCUAACACAUCCCUAUUACUCGACCAUCCCACGAGGGGUACUUUUAAAAAUUCUUCUGUACCACUAAGAAAACCUUGAAUAUCAAUAGUCGAUCAGACAAGAUAGUGCCGCAAUACCAAUAAAGCAUCCAUAACUCAAACACACCGCUCUUUUUGAAAUGUAUACCCUCAUCAAGCCACACCAAUCAGUGACCUCAUUUAUCUGGUCAUCUAAAGCUGUCCAUGUUGCCUAAGAAUUUAUGACAUUCCUUUCAAAACUGAACUGUGGCCUUACACAUGCAAAUCUCAACCCCAAACAACAUACCACAUAUACCAUACCAUCCUAUGAUAAAUAUGAAAACUUUAUAAUCCACUCCGAGCUACAAUCAACUACGUACUCAGCUAGCCAAGAACUUUUCCAUUUGAUCCCAUCUAGGAGAAAAUCAUUAUACAUCCUAUGCUCCUCAUGACAGUAGAAAAUAUACAUCUCUAACCGUGGUAGAAACCAUCAAGAACUCUCCGAAUUCCAUUUGCACAAGACCAAACUGUUAGAACUAAAUUCCUCUAACUCAACCAGCUAUGUAGGCCAUUAAAACCUAAGAGCAUUGCCAUGAAACACCUGUAGAAACCCAGUGCAUCAUAAGCACCUGAGAACCGAUCAUAUCUGCUACCCUGCCGAUCCAACCUACUACCAAGCUGUCCUAAUUCUCUGAGUUCCUUCCGAAUUACCUUCAAUUUGAUACGUUUCCUUGCUAGUACACCACUAUCCUUAACUAAAACUUACCCCACGAGCUUUAGCUAAAAAUCACAUCGCCCUAAGGCUUAUAAACCCUCACAUUCCUCUAAAGCACCCCCAAAAGAACCACAACCAAGAUACCCGCUCUGAAAAGACCUUCUGCAAAUCUAAAGUCAUUACCUUCAACUUCCUGAUACUGAUGUGUAGAAUCCAUAAAUGAUAUAGAAAUACCAUGAGUCUUGACACCCUCCAAUGCAAACCUCAGUUUCUAGCCAAAUAUAUAACCUGAAAAUCCCCAAUUAUCACAUGAAAAAUCUUGAACCCAUUAGAACCAUCAUCGAGAGUCAUCCACUCUACUCAAGCCGUAAUUAGACCAAUCAAACGGACCGGACGACCUGUGCUCCCUUAGCACUCCAACACUGCAGAAUGUAACCUCACCUUUAUACAACCAAGCAACUUCUUGCUCUAUGCACCGUACAUCCUUUGCCAAUAACAACUCAAGUCAUUCUAAGAUUCUCAUACACCCAUAAAGCAUAACAUAACCUUUAUUGAAAUUUCCUUCACUCGAGCCAUCCUCGGCCUCAACCUCCAUAAGUCAUAACUGAUUCACCCAUACUCCUCAAACGGGAACCAACAUAACACAUAAUCGUGUAAUCAAUUAAUCAAUAGUAGAGUCCCCCACUUGGCUCAAAGCCAUAAAUCAAAACACACAAUAACUCAUAACGUAUAUACUCUAUUACUUCCAUAUUACCAUAGGGUUAUUAAACUCGAUCCUUCAUAAGCUCGUGAAACAUAGACCAUCUAGUACUUUAAAUCUUCUGCAAAUCUCGAUUCACCCUCAUAACAGUCAAGCCCACUCUCUUAGGCAACCCAAAUUCAAAUUGCAACACAUAUAUUUCACUGGUAACAGAGAUCUUCCAAUGAACAACGUAAAGGAUCACACAAUCUUCAAAACAAUCCGCAGGAGAUAGCCCACCUGCCUCGCCUCAAACUAACAUCUCCUUACACCCUUCCACCGUCAUAAACAUUAAACAAUCACUUAAUCUUCCUGAGUCUAAACUCGUCUCACAAUGUGAAAUCCACUCCACUUCCCAACUAGGCAACAUGAGAAGGUCCUUCAACACGCCCACAACUCGGGCUAAACAACAAAUCACGAUGGAAACCAAGCACCAGAUAGUUCUCACUACUCCCAAGAAGACCCUUCUUGUCUCGUUCAAAUCAUAUGCACAUAUCUCGUAGUCACAUCAUACUCAUCACGUAGCUAUCCAACCAUCACUCCCACCAAUAGGGACACUAUUGGACAUAACAAUCCAAAAGCACGUGCUCACACCAUCAACGCCUUAGUGCUCAAGCUAUAACCAAAACUUGGCCUCAAGUCCUCCAAACUGGCCCAACAUCAACACACAGAAAUCAUAUCUCGCCCCUUGAUCGGGGAAUCACAAGCCUUCAAUGCACAACUAAUACGAGCGCUCAUGCGUGCAUACGAACGUGUGGAAAGAAUUUUAAGAGUUACAUUUCAAGUUGAAUCAAGGACACAUGACAAGAAUUCAAGAAUGUGAAGUUUUUCCUAAAGGUUCGGCAGCCUCCCGAGGAUUAGUACAGACGUCUCCGUACCAAUCCGCGAGACUCUACCAUACCUGCUCAUGACUCGUGAGACCUAUGUAACCUAGGCUCUGAUACCAACUUGUCAUGACCCAAAAACUGACCCGGUCAUGAUGGCGCCUAUCGUGAAACUAGACCAGCCGACAUAACUCCCGAAUCAACCAUUUGUCACACCCCUUUUUACUAACCUCACUAACCCUCUUAAAUUAAUAAAAAGAUUCGUGAAGCUCAAAAGAGUUUUCAAUUAGAAAGUGACAGAAAUUUGUGUUCAAAAGGAUUAACUCAGAGUCGCCACCUGAUAUUUGUUUCGGUAUGCCAGGUCACAAUUUUUAAAAUGAUUUUCCUUUAAAAACACUUUAGACUCCAAAACUAAGUCCACACCAGAGAUUCGGGUAAGAGGGUUCAUUUGGCUCAGGGAGAAGGUGUUAGGCACUCCUCAAGUCCCGUAACUAGUACGGUUGUAUACUUGAUCUAGUCGGAUUUUAAAAUAUUCAAUUGAGGUAGAAAACACAGAAAAAGGAAAAUAAACACACAAGAGGCUCGAGGUCAUCUCUACCUAAAUAAAAGAAAAGAAAAUGAAAAUAAAUAAAAAUACUACAAGUUUUUACUUUUGGCCUCUAUUUACAAAUACUUCGGGGCAUACCCCGGAUAAAAAUAUACACAAAUCCUUCGGGGCAUCCCCGGAUAAUAAACUAAAAGAAACGACCUCUCGCCUCGAUACUAAGAAAAUCCUUAGGCUUGCCUACCCAAGUGUGGUCGACCUAAGCAUGUUACUACCCCAUAUUCAAUGCAGAACCCGAAUCAAUCUACUUAUAUAUAUGUAUAAUUAAUCCUUUUGUCAUCUGAAUGGUAACUGAAUCAUGGAACAUUAAAUAAAGCAAUAUGACAAGGACAAAACCAAAAGGCUCAUUUCAGCCAUUAAAACACCUGAAUAUAAGUUACAUGAAAGAAGCACAAAAGAAUAAACAACAGAACAAAUAAACACACACAAAUACUACUAAGGCAUCACAAACGGAAAAAAAUGAAACGUUAACUCAAAAGUUUGAGAAAACAGAAACAUGUAAUUAAGCCAAAAUAGUAAAAGAAAGGAGAGGAAUAUACCUCGUUAAAUUUGAAAUUUGAUUGUGUCACAAUCUUGAAUUCGGGAAUAUGAUGAAUCGCGGACGGAAGCUCGAAUCGUCACUGUAAAUCUCAUCUGGACUCGCACUCGGACAGAAUGUUUAUUCAAACUCGACUUAAAUCUGUUCUCACACUCAAAGACCAAAAAUCACAAAAAAAAAAUGAAGCAACAAAAAUGUUCUCCUCGGAUAUAACCAGCUCGCCGACGAGACAGAACCUGACGGGUGAGAGAUGAGGAAACGAAGAGGAGGCGAUUUUCUAAAGUUUGUGCUGGUUUUCUUAGAAUAGGGGUCGCUGAAUCAUUUGGGCGCGAGGUGAAGAAACAACAAUUGGUGGUUCUCUUUUGUGUGAGAGAUGAAGGGUCAUUCGUCAUUCCUGGGCAUGUGGGUGACUAGUUCUGGGCGGAGGAAAGCAGGCGGCGCCGCUGGUCUAAGCGGCUAUUGAGAGGUAGAGAUGAGUGGCAGAUGGUUUUUCUUGCAGUAGUCUUGAGAGGUGAAGAAGGUUGGGUGUAGGGUGAGAGUUAUAAGGAUGGGUAGUUUUUGUUUGUUCGCUAGCAGAGAGAAUGGUACCCGAGUUCGGUCGCUGAUGGUACGAGAGCUGGCCGACGAUGGCUGAAAGGCUGGUGCUCGGCGGCUUUCUUGUGUAGGUUCAGAUGGCUGCUCCUAUGGUCUUAAGGUUGAAGAAGGUUUUUUUAGUUUGUUGUGGGUUGAAGGAGAUGAAG
RNAcentral lists this long non-coding RNA (8736 nucleotides) under Nicotiana tabacum (common tobacco). RNAcentral's name for it is "long non-coding RNA (NTAB_LNC002385)". The record is from RNAcentral. Lineage: Eukaryota; Viridiplantae; Streptophyta; Magnoliopsida; Solanales; Solanaceae.